CGGGCGCGCGCGGCCGUUUCCCGCCCACGGGCGGCCGCUGGGCUCCCUGAGGGGAGUGGGGGUCUGCCUCAGGCCGGAGCCGCCCCAAGCAUACCUAUAAACAGCAAACAGCGGAAAACAACACAAAAACAAACAAACAAAACCACGCGCAACAGCUCUUACUUUGUUCAGGCUGCGGGAAACAGUGCCAGGACGAAAAGAGGCGGCUAGAAUAAUCCUCUGCAGCUGCAGCCCAGCGCCAGGCCCAGGCAUUCAUGAAUAUUUUAAUUACUUCUUUUUGUUCCCCGACUUUUGGACAAAAAUACGGCAACAUUUUCAAGCCUAUGGAAGUCUAUGGAAGCAUCUGACUUAAAACCUUCUGACGUAACUAUUUUGAUCGCACAAUCAUCCAUCGUUUAGAGAAGAACUUCACAGCCUAAUUGUGAGUCAGCCCAGAACAUUUAAGUAUCCUUACUGAGAUGGGAAUUUGAAUGAGGAAAAAUGGUCCAUUUCCAGGGGAGAUGAAUUGAAGACCCUAUCACGUGUCACUGAUGGCAUCUCUACGCUGGGUUACUGGUUUUCUGUGAGUAUGUGUGGGUUCAUCUUACCAUUUAUCAGCCACCAUGCACAGAGGUCACAAGUCCCCUGCCUCAUUAAAAGACAGUGAGCCAAUUGAAAAACAACUCCGUUCUCCCUUGGGGCAUCUGAACAUAUGGUGCAGGAGUAGUAUGGUUAAUUUUGAAACAGUCAGAUCUGGGAAGAGGCUAAACAGUUGGACAAAAAGUGGGUAAUGUAACUAGAUACUCAGAGAGAUAACUCUUGUCAGCCGAUUUUCCUGUUUUGACAACAGAAUUGGUAGGCUACAGCUUCAAGCUUCUCAGGGUGUCUCAUGAACUGAGAAGGAAAGACAGUAAGUUACAGUACUAAAAGCUAUAGUGGAACAAUAAAAACAGAAAUGUGACCCUGCUCCCAUGUGGAAAUGUCUCAGAGCUUCAUAAAAUCAACAGCAACUGAAUAUACAGUGCUGGCAUACAAAGACACAGAACAUGAUGUAGGAGCAUUGUAGUAUCAGCAUGUUUGUUACUGUCAGAAAACACAAUGACAGAAGAGAAAUUUGUUGAUUGACUCCUUACAGAUCUGCCACAUUAAAUGUUAAUAAAUUGCACAAUACAGGCUUGUUACAAUUUCUAUUCCACAACUUACAGACAUUGUCUGAGUAGGAAGGGUGCUGGCUGGUAUAAUGCUUUUUGCAAUGACAUGAAAAUAUGUUGCCAAUUCCUGUUAUUCAGAUUACUUUUUUCUCAGACUUUUUUUUUACAUGCAAAUAUUCAAAAAAAAAAAAAAAAAGGUUUAACUUCUUGCUGCUCUGUUAAUCCUUCUUUUAUGCUGGGAAGCUGCUGUUGUGUCAUGGACACGUUUUGUCCAUGAGAAUGUCUUUGAGCUAUCAUUCUGUAUAUCCUUUUCCAAGCUAAGGAACUGCAAUACUUUCAUCCAACUUUAAAAAUAAAGUAGUCACUAAAACUUUUAUACUUGAAUGCAGACCUUAAGGAUUUUGUUUAGAAUGAUCCUCUAGGGAACACAGUGAAAACAGUAUCUCUUGAGACAACAAUGGAGAAGCUUUCACCAGCACUGAGAAUGCAGCUAUUCAUUGCUUCUGCAGCCAAAUAAAUGCUCUCUGGUUGGAAGCACCUUAUAUUCAAUAAAAAAAAAAAACACACUUUUUUUUAUUCUUCCCCCCUUCACCUCCCCCCCAUGUCAUGGUCUGUGAUGAAUAUUUAAUUGAUUCUGGUUAACUGAAAGACAGAAAAGUUAGCCAACAUGGAAUACGACUUCAAAUAAAAGGAUACUUUACUGCAUCAUGACAUAGUCUCACACUAAUGUAAAUAAUGUUGUAGAAUGGAGAGCAGCACUUUUC
Long non-coding RNA from Cygnus olor (mute swan), 1894 nucleotides. RefSeq lists it as uncharacterized. The transcript is spliced from 5 exons. Lineage: Eukaryota; Metazoa; Chordata; Aves; Anseriformes; Anatidae. The record is from RefSeq and is a predicted model, not a curated record.